Molecule: transfer-messenger RNA, 294 nt
Filed under: Bacteroidales
Lineage: Bacteria; Pseudomonadati; Bacteroidota; Bacteroidia
Also listed under: 1 other name
Description: B39-G9 sp003648455 Standard tmRNA
Rfam family: transfer-messenger RNA
About the family: Bacterial tmRNA, also known as 10Sa RNA or SsrA, is named for its dual tRNA and mRNA-like properties. Its role is to liberate the mRNA from a stalled ribosome. To accomplish this part of the tmRNA is used as a reading frame that ends in a translation stop signal.
Source: RNAcentral
GGGGCUGAAAAGGUUUCGACAGGCACCAAAGAAUGUUUUGACCGGCGUUUCUUAAAAAAAAUAGUUGACGAAAGUUACGAAAAUUACGCACUAGCUGCGUAACCGACCUUGUGGUAAUGGUUUUCAAUUCACCAGCUACAGGGAAUAAGUAAUUGAUAUUCGUGAAAUACAGACAACCACGAAGAGAAUACAAAAGUUUCUGUUGGAGAUUGAACAGUUCUUCAUAAUAAAAAGUUUCUUAGGUCAUUAGGUUCGGUAGCUUGGACGGCGGUUCAAAUCCGCCCAGUUCCAUCA